Daucus carota subsp. sativus is the source of this 1013-nucleotide long non-coding RNA. RefSeq lists it as uncharacterized. The transcript is spliced from 2 exons. The record is from RefSeq and is a predicted model, not a curated record. NCBI's taxonomy places the organism in Eukaryota, Viridiplantae, Streptophyta, Magnoliopsida, Apiales, Apiaceae.
UCGGGUAAAAUCGAAAUACUUCAAACUAAUCUGAAAUAUGGACACAGGAACACACACACACAUAAGCACCUUAGGCCCAGUGAUACAAGGCCCAUUCACAAGUGUAUAUAAAGGAUGAUAGUCUACCCUAUUCAUUAUACAAACCCUAUGAACCACAGAUCCGCCGCUUUUGUUCUUUUUCCUCCCAUUUUCUCUUGUUUUGUUUCUCCGGUUGUUCCUUCUUCUCCUCUAUUUCUCUUCGGCAAGCCUUGAACAUACAUAUUAUUUCUUUGUUUAGCUUACACAUAUAUAUAUUUAUCUUAUAUACAUAUCUCAGAAGUUUAAUUGAAUUUGUAUAUAUAUCAUACGCUUGAUUUCGCUUGAUUUGGGGGUUUUAAAAAACAGUGCUUAUAUGAUUUUUUACGGUUGUGUUUUGAUGAAAAUGUUCAGGUUUAUGUGGUUAUUAUGGCUUUUACUCACGAAAAUAGAAUGAUGGUGAUUUUCAGAUAGGACCGGGGCGACAUGAGUUAUUUACCUGAUAUUGCGGUUCUUUGUCAUAAUUUAGCUAUUAUAAUUAUCUAUUUAUUGCAUGUUUUUGGUAAACAAUGAAGAUGAUACUCCAAAAAAUAUCAGAUGAAGUCAGGCUGCCAAGCAGAAGAAUUGUGUGGCGAAACUGAUGGAUCAGAUGAUGAGGACGAUGGAGAAGAAAAUGACAAAGAUGAUGACGAUGUAGGCGAUAUAUGGGGAUGGAUCUGCAAAUGACAGAGAUGAUGAGGUCGGUUCAGAUGAUGGAGAUGACUCUACCUAGUUGAUCCUUUGUUAUGUCGAAUUAACUUAGCAAUUAUCUAGCUCCAUCUAGUAGACCAAGUCUUUUGUUUAAAUUAUGCCUUGACCUUAUAAUGGCUUAUUUAAGUAUGCGACCUAGAUUGGAAUAUGUCUAGUCUCUAUUGUCACGGUCAUGGUACCGCUUUUGGAUUGUUGGCUACUUGAUGCUAAUUGGAAUUCUGAAUAGACAAUUGAAAUUUUUGGCUAUA